GGGCGUUAAGUUGCAGGGUAUAGACCCGAAACCCGGUGAUCUAGCCAUGGGCAGGUUGAAGGUUGGGUAACACUAACUGGAGGACCGAACCGACUAAUGUUGAAAAAUUAGCGGAUGACCUGUGGCUGGGGGUGAAAGGCCAAUCAAACCGGGAGAUAGCUGGUUCUCCCCGAAAGCUAUUUAGGUAGCGCCUCGUGAAUUCAUCUCCGGGGGUAGAGCACUGUUUCGGCUAGGGGGCCAUCCCGGCUUACCAACCCGAUGCAAACUGCGAAUACCGGAGAAUGUUAUCACGGGAGACACACGGCGGGUGCUAACGUCCGUCGUGAAGAGGGAAACAACCCAGACCGCCAGCUAAGGUCCCAAAGUCAUGGUUAAGUGGGAAACGAUGUGGGAAGGCCCAGACAGCCAGGAUGUUGGCUUAGAAGCAGCCAUCAUUUAAAGAAAGCGUAAUAGCUCACUGGUCGAGUCGGCCUGCGCGGAAGAUGUAACGGGGCUAAACCAUGCACCGAAGCUGCGGCAGCG
Molecule: ribosomal RNA, 522 nt
Filed under: Salmonella enterica
Lineage: Bacteria; Pseudomonadati; Pseudomonadota; Gammaproteobacteria; Enterobacterales; Enterobacteriaceae
Also listed under: 3 other names
Description: partial 23S ribosomal RNA
Rfam family: Bacterial large subunit ribosomal RNA
Source: RNAcentral